This 430-nucleotide ribosomal RNA is filed under the name Pseudomonadota bacterium. RNAcentral's name for it is "Proteobacteria bacterium partial 16S ribosomal RNA". It matches the Rfam family "Bacterial small subunit ribosomal RNA", at positions 355 to 776 of the family's 1533-position model. The record is from RNAcentral. Lineage: Bacteria; Pseudomonadati; Pseudomonadota.
UGGGGAAUAUUGGACAAUGGGGGGAACCCUGAUCCAGCCAUGCCGCGUGUGUGAAGAAGGCCUUAUGGUUGUAAAGCACUUUAAGCGAGGAGGAGGGUACUGGUAUUAAUACUACCAGGUACUGGACGUUACUCGCAGAAUAAGCACCGGCUAACUCUGUGCCAGCAGCCGCGGUAAUACAGAGGGUGCGAGCGUUAAUCGGAUUUACUGGGCGUAAAGCGUGCGUAGGCGGCUAAUUGAGUCGGAUGUGAAAUCCCCGAGCUUAACUUGGGAAUUGCAUUCGAUACUGGUUAGCUAGAGUGUGGGAGAGGAUGGUAGAAUUCCAGGUGUAGCGGUGAAAUGCGUAGAGAGCUGGAGGAAUACCGAUGGCGAAGGCAGCCAUCUGGCCUAACACUGACGCUGAGGUACGAAAGCAUGGGGAGCAAACAGG